AAAGGAAUAGACGGGGGCCCGCACAAGCAGUGGAGUAUGUGGUUUAAUUCGAGGCAACGCGAAGAACCUUACCAGGGCUUGACAUCCCUUGAAAAUCCCAGAGAUGGGACUUCUCUUCGGAGCAAGGAGACAGGUGGUGCAUGGUUGUCGUCAGCUCGUGUCGUGAGAUGUUGGGUUAAGUCCCGUAACGAGCGCAACCCCUACUGUCAGUUGCCAGCAUUAAGUUGGGCACUCUGGCGGGACUGCCGGUGAUAAAUCGGAGGAAGGUGGGGAUGACGUCAAAUCAUCAUGCCCCUUAUGUCCUGGGCUACACACGUACUACAAUGGUCGCUACAGAGGGAAGCAAACCCGCGAGGCGGAGCAAAUCCCUAAAGGCGGCCCCAGUUCGGAUUGUAGGCUGAAACUCGCCUACAUGAAGUUGGAAUUGCUAGUAAUUGCAGGUCAGAAUACUGCAGUGAAUACGUUCCCGGGCCUUGUACACACCGCCCGU
RNAcentral lists this ribosomal RNA (490 nucleotides) under uncultured bacterium. Its description in RNAcentral is "bacterial SSU rRNA". It matches the Rfam family "Bacterial small subunit ribosomal RNA", at positions 903 to 1397 of the family's 1533-position model. The record is from RNAcentral.